RNAcentral lists this ribosomal RNA (249 nucleotides) under Clostridioides difficile. Its description in RNAcentral is "partial 23S ribosomal RNA". It matches the Rfam family "Bacterial large subunit ribosomal RNA", at positions 1559 to 1820 of the family's 2925-position model. The record is from RNAcentral. Lineage: Bacteria; Bacillati; Bacillota; Clostridia; Peptostreptococcales; Peptostreptococcaceae.
GGAUGUGAUGGGGAGCGAAAUUUAGUAGCGAAGUAGCUGAUUUCACACUGUCAAGAAAAGUCUCUAUCGAGGUUAAAGGUACCCGUACCGCAAACCGACACAGGUGGGUGAGGAGAGUAUCCUAAGGCCAGCGAGAGAACUGUUGUUAAGGAACUCGGCAAAAUGACCCCGUAACUUAGGGAUAAGGGGUGCCACCAUCCGGUGGCCGCAGAGAAUAGGCCCAAGCGACUGUUUACCAAAAACAUAGGU